UUAUGAAAACAAUUCAUACCAAUGUAGCGUUCACCCCUGUAAACAAUUUGCAUGAUGAUGUACAAGUGAAGGAGAUCCACAUUUCAAACAAGCGCAUUAGUUUGCACAAUUCCUCACCUCAGUUACCUUUGCCCUUUUCUUCAAAUGGAGGCACAGUAACAGGAGAAAGAUGAUUAAGGAGUUGGGCAAACCAAAUUAUGAUCUCCCUAUCUAGCUUGUUGAGGGGUCGGGGCAUCUGAUCAAGGCCGGCUACCGCUGCAGCAGAGGCACGGGAGCCGGCGGCCGCUUCUGCUGAGGCAUGGCUGGCAGUUGCUCCAGCUGAGGCGCGGGCCACUUCCAUAGAGGCAUGGUUGGCAGUUGCUUCAGCUGAGGCGCGGGCCGCUUCCGCAGAGGCUCGGGGGCCGGCGGCCGCUUCUGCUGAGGCAUGGUUGGCAGUUGCUCCAGCUGAAGCGCAGGGGCCAGCCGCUUCUGCUGAGGCAUGGUUGGCAGUUGCUCCAGCUGAGGCGCUGGGGCCAGCCGCUUCUGCUGAGGCAUGGUUGGCAGUUGCUACAGCUGAGGCAUUUGUCCCGGCGUCACACUUGCCAGAGUAUUGGUGCCAGUAGCUUUAGCAUUUGGAACAGACACCACACUUGCUUGGGAUCCAGAUGGUUCAGGUCCAGUGCAUGCAGGAUGCCCAUAAGCAUCACCUAGGAAACAAAACAUUAUGGUAAAACGCCAGCCUUAAGCUAUUGGAACUAG
Long non-coding RNA from Oncorhynchus tshawytscha (Chinook salmon), 738 nucleotides. The record is from Ensembl. Lineage: Eukaryota; Metazoa; Chordata; Actinopteri; Salmoniformes; Salmonidae.